CUAAAAUGAGAGUUUGAUCCUGGCUCAGGACGAACGCUGGCGGCGUGCCUAAUACAUGCAAGUCGAACGCUUUUUUCAA
Molecule: ribosomal RNA, 79 nt
Filed under: Ligilactobacillus agilis
Lineage: Bacteria; Bacillati; Bacillota; Bacilli; Lactobacillales; Lactobacillaceae
Description: partial 16S ribosomal RNA
Rfam family: Bacterial small subunit ribosomal RNA
Source: RNAcentral